ACGGAAGGCAGCAGUAGGGAAUAUUGCACAAUGGGGGAACCCUGAUGCAGCAACGCCACGUGUGGGAAGAAGCAUUUCGGUGUGUAAACCGCUGUCGUGAGGGAAUAAUGCUUGGUUUCGGCCAAGUUGAAUGUACCUCGAAAGGAAGCACCGGCAAACUUCGUGCCAGCAGCCGCGGUAAUACGAGGGGUGCAAGCGUUGUUCGGAAUCACUGGGCGUAAAGGGAGCGCAGGCGGAGAUGCAAGCAGUCUGUACAAUACCGGGGCCCAACCCCGGACCUGCAGACUGGACUGUUUCUCUUGGAUAGUUCAGGGGCAAGCGGAAUUCCUGGUGUAGCGGUGGAAUGCGUAGAGAUCAGGAAGAACACCGAUGGCGGAGGCAGCUUGCUGGGGACUUAUCGACGCUCAUGCUCGAAAGUGCGGGUAGCAAACAGGAUUAGAUACCCUGGUA
RNAcentral lists this ribosomal RNA (450 nucleotides) under uncultured Fibrobacter sp. RNAcentral describes it as "partial 16S ribosomal RNA". It matches the Rfam family "Bacterial small subunit ribosomal RNA", at positions 341 to 792 of the family's 1533-position model. Lineage: Bacteria; Pseudomonadati; Fibrobacterota; Fibrobacteria; Fibrobacterales; Fibrobacteraceae. The record is from RNAcentral.